GUCAUUUUAUAUUUCAUAAUUUACUUUGUCAAACAAAACAAGCGUAAAUGUGUGAGUAGAGAGGGAUAUUAUCAUCUCUCGAUAUCUCCCCCCCCAUUCACCCCCCAAAACUGCAAUGAUCCUUCCGCAGGUUCACCUACGGAAA
Molecule: unclassified non-coding RNA, 145 nt
Filed under: uncultured fungus
Lineage: Eukaryota; Fungi
Description: sequence contains ITS1
Source: RNAcentral